GUGGGGAAUCUUGCGCAAUGGGCGAAAGCCUGACGCAGCCAUGCCGCGUGAAUGAUGAAGGUCUUAGGAUUGUAAAAUUCUUUCACCGGGGACGAUAAUGACGGUACCCGGAGAAGAAGCUCCGGCUAACUUCGUGCCAACAGCCGCGGUAAUACGAAGGGGGCUAGCGUUGCUCGGAAUUACUGGGCGUAAAGGGCGCGUAGGCGGACAGUUUAGUCAGAGGUGAAAGCCCAGGGCUCAACCUUGGAAUUGCCUUUGAUACUGGCUGUGUUGAGUUUGGGAGAGGUGAGUGGAACUCCGAGUGUAGAGGUGAAAUUCGUAGAUAUUCGGAAGAACACCAGUGGCGAAGGCGACUCACUGGCCCAAUACUGACGCUGAGGCGCGAAAGCGUGGGGAGCAAACAGGAUUAGAUACCCCUGUAGUCC
This 425-nucleotide ribosomal RNA is filed under the name uncultured bacterium. Its description in RNAcentral is "bacterial SSU rRNA". It matches the Rfam family "Bacterial small subunit ribosomal RNA", at positions 354 to 796 of the family's 1533-position model. The record is from RNAcentral.